GGAUUCAAGAGCCCUCCCUUAGGAGGAAUAGGGGAUUCACAAAUCCCACAUUUCUCCUAUUGGUGUUCUCAAUUUCAAAAGACAAUUUUAUAUUGGGUAACCACUUUGUGUGUUCAAUGUCAUGCAUCCUUUGUUGAUAGUUGUUUAGUUCAUGUUUCUUUGUUAAUAAUUCUCUUAUAUAUAUAUUCCCUUUAGUAGCGACGAGCGAAAUGGGAGCAUCCUAGACUGUGAAAAUGAGGUUGUGGGAAAGCACGAUAUAAGCUCAGUGUUGUUAGGUGAAGCAAUUGAUUCUUGUACCGUAGAUGGUGAGAGUCCAGUAGCCAAAAGCAUCAUUGGAUUACGCUCUAACCCGAGUAGAAUGGGGCAUGUGGAAUCUCAUGUGAAUCAGCAAGGACCACCUUGCAAGGCUAAAUACUCUUGGGUGACCGAUAGCGAAGUAGUACCGUGAGGGAAAGGUGAAAGAACCCCCAUCAGGGACUGAAAUAGAACAUGAAA
Non-coding RNA from Picea glauca (white spruce), 495 nucleotides. Lineage: Eukaryota; Viridiplantae; Streptophyta; Pinopsida; Pinales; Pinaceae. The record is from Rfam.